This 305-nucleotide ribosomal RNA is filed under the name uncultured bacterium. RNAcentral's name for it is "bacterial SSU rRNA". It matches the Rfam family "Bacterial small subunit ribosomal RNA", at positions 338 to 660 of the family's 1533-position model. The record is from RNAcentral.
CCUACGGGAGGCAGCAGUAGGGAAUAUUGCUCAAUGGGGGAAACCCUGAAGCAGCAACGCCGCGUGGAGGAUGAAGGUUUUCGGAUUGUAAACUCCUUUUGUUAGAGAAGAUAAUGACGGUAUCUAACGAAUAAGCACCGGCUAACCCCGUGCCAGCAGCCGCGGUAAUACGUAGGUGGCAAGCGUUGUCCGGAUUUACUGGGUGUAAAGGGCGUGCAGCCGGGCCGACAAGUCAGAUGUGAAAUCCGCGGGCUUAACCCGCGAACUGCAUUUGAAACUAUUGGUCUUGAGUACCGGAGAGGUCA